This 468-nucleotide ribosomal RNA is filed under the name uncultured bacterium. RNAcentral describes it as "partial 16S ribosomal RNA". It matches the Rfam family "Bacterial small subunit ribosomal RNA", at positions 28 to 507 of the family's 1533-position model. The record is from RNAcentral.
GACGAACGCUGGCGGCGGGCUUAACACAUGCAAGUCGAACGGAAAGGCCCUGCUUUUGUGGGGUGCUCGAGGGGCGAACGGGUGCGUAACACGUGAGUAACCUGCCCUUGACUUUGGGAUAACUUCAGGAAACUGGGGCUAAUACCGGAUAGGAGCUCCUGCUGCAUGGUGGGGGUUGGAAAGGUUCGGCGGUUGGGGAUGGACUCGCGGCUUAUCAGCCUGUUGGUGGGGUAGUGGCUUACCAAGGCUUUGACGGGUAGCCGGCCUGAGAGGGUGACCGGCCACAUUGGGACUGAGAUACGGCCCAGACUCCUGCGGGAGGCAGCAGUGGGGAAUAGUGCACGAUGGGCGGAAGCCUGAUGCAGCAACGCCGCGUGCGGGAUGACGGCCUUCGGGUUGUAAACCGCUUUCGCCUGUGACGAAGCGUGAGUGACGGUAAUGUGUAAAGAAGCACCGGCUAACUACGUG